GUGCCUAUGGUGUAAUGGUUCGCACAACGACCUGUGGAGUCGUUUGACUGGGUUCGAGUCCCAGUAGGCACCCCG
This 75-nucleotide transfer RNA is filed under the name Candidatus Taylorbacteria bacterium RIFCSPHIGHO2_02_FULL_44_36. RNAcentral describes it as "tRNA-His". It matches the Rfam family "tRNA". Rfam says of the family: Transfer RNA (tRNA) molecules are approximately 80 nucleotides in length. Their secondary structure includes four short double-helical elements and three loops (D, anti-codon, and T loops). Further hydrogen bonds mediate the characteristic L-shaped molecular structure. tRNAs have two regions of fundamental functional importance: the anti-codon, which is responsible for specific mRNA codon recognition, and the 3' end, to which the tRNAs corresponding amino acid is attached (by aminoacyl-tRNA synthetases). tRNAs cope with the degeneracy of the genetic code in two manners: having more than one tRNA (with a specific anti-codon) for a particular amino acid; and 'wobble' base-pairing, i.e. permitting non-standard base-pairing at the 3rd anti-codon position. RNAcentral also lists the same sequence under 1 other name. The record is from RNAcentral. Lineage: Bacteria; Candidatus Tayloriibacteriota.